Molecule: ribosomal RNA, 906 nt
Filed under: Rhodotorula babjevae
Lineage: Eukaryota; Fungi; Basidiomycota; Microbotryomycetes; Sporidiobolales; Sporidiobolaceae
Description: LSU rRNA
Rfam family: Eukaryotic large subunit ribosomal RNA
Source: RNAcentral
GCAUAUCAAUAAGCGGAGGAAAAGAAACUAACAAGGAUUCCCCUAGUAGCGGCGAGCGAAGCGGGAAGAGCUCAAAUUUAUAAUCUGGCACCUUCGGUGUCCGAGUUGUAAUCUCUAGAAGUGUUUUCCGCGUUGGACCGCACACAAGUCUGUUGGAAUACAGCGGCAUAGUGGUGAAACCCCCGUAUAUGGUGCGGACGCCCAGCGCUUUGUGAUACACUUUCAAUGAGUCGAGUUGUUUGGGAAUGCAGCUCAAAUUGGGUGGUAAAUUCCAUCUAAAGCUAAAUAUUGGCGAGAGACCGAUAGCGAACAAGUACCGUGAGGGAAAGAUGAAAAGCACUUUGGAAAGAGAGUUAACAGUACGUGAAAUUGUUGGAAGGGAAACGCUUGAAGUCAGACUUGCUUGCCGGAGCUUGCUUCGGUUUGCAGGCCAGCAUCAGUUUUCCGGGGUGGAUAAUGACGGUUUGAAGGUAGCAGUCUCGGCUGUGUUAUAGCUUUCCGUUGGAUACAUCCUGGGGGACUGAGGAACGCAGCGUGCUUUUUGCGAAAGACUCGUCUUUUUCACGCUUAGGAUGCUGGUGGAAUGGCUUUAAACGACCCGUCUUGAAACACGGACCAAGGAGUCUAACAUGCUCGCGAGUAUUUGGGUGUCAAACCCGGAUGCGCAAUGAAAGUGAAUGUAGGUGGGAACCGCAAGGUGCACCAUCGACCGAUCUGGAUUUUUUAAGAUGGAUUUGAGUAAGAGCGCGUAUGUUGGGACCCGAAAGAUGGUGAACUAUGCCUGAAUAGGGCGAAGCCAGAGGAAACUCUGGUGGAGGCUCGUAGCGGUUCUGACGUGCAAAUCGAUCGUCAAAUUUGGGUAUAGGGGCGAAAGACUAAUCGAACCAUCUAGUAGCUGGUUCCUGC